GAUGAAGAACGCAGCGAAAUGCGAUACUUGGUGUGAAUUGCAGAAUCCCGUGAACCAUCGAGUCUUUGAACGCAAGUUGCGCCCGAAGCCUCGGCUAAGGGCACGUCUGCCUGGGCGUCACGCAUCGCGUCUCCCCCAAACCGCCAAGGCGGAAGGGAAGGAAGAUGGCUUCCCGUGCCUCACCCGGCGCGGUUGGCCUAAAUUUGGAGCCCGCGGCACUUAGCUCUCGCGGCGAUAGGUGGUGAACAAGGCCUUGGCCGUGCAAACAACCCGCUGCGAAGCUCUAUGUCACGUGCGCUCGUCGGACCCUUUGAAGUUGCCUUCGGUGACUUAAAACCUUUGCGACCCCAGGUCAGGCGGGGCUACCCGCUGAAUUUAAGCAUAUCAAUAAGCGGAGGA
This 399-nucleotide unclassified non-coding RNA is filed under the name soil metagenome. RNAcentral describes it as "partial contains 5.8S ribosomal RNA, internal transcribed spacer 2, and large subunit ribosomal RNA". The stretch from base 1 to 120 matches the Rfam family "5.8S ribosomal RNA", at positions 35 to 154 of the family's 154-position model. The record is from RNAcentral.